Molecule: ribosomal RNA, 406 nt
Filed under: uncultured bacterium
Lineage: Bacteria
Description: partial 16S ribosomal RNA
Rfam family: Bacterial small subunit ribosomal RNA
Source: RNAcentral
AUUGAACGCUGGCGGCAGGCCUAACACAUGCAAGUCGAACGAGUGGCGGACGGGUGAGUAAUGUCUGGGAAACUGCCGGAUGGAGGGGGAUAACUACUGGAAACGGUAGCUAAUACCGCAUACCAUCCGAGGUGCCGAGAUGGGAUUAGCUUGUUGGUGGGGUAAAGGCUCACCAAGGCGACGAUCCGUAGCGGGUCUGAGAGGAUGACCAGCCACACUGGGACUGAGACACGGUCCAGACUCCUACGGGAGGCAGAAGUGGGGAAUAUUGCACAAUGGGCGCAAGCCUGAUGCAGCCAUGCCGCGUGUCUGAAGAAGGCCUUCGGGUUGUAAAGGACUUUUGUCGGGGAAGCGGUACCCGAAGAAGAAGCACCGGCUAACUACGUGCCAGCAGCCGCGGUAAUAC